This 468-nucleotide ribosomal RNA is filed under the name uncultured bacterium. RNAcentral describes it as "partial 16S ribosomal RNA". It matches the Rfam family "Bacterial small subunit ribosomal RNA", at positions 28 to 507 of the family's 1533-position model. The record is from RNAcentral.
GACGAACGCUGGCGGCGCGCCUAACACAUGCAAGUCGAACGGAGCUGAGAGAAGCUUGCUUUUCUUAGCUUAGUGGCGAACGGGUGAGUAACGCGUGAGUAACCUGCCCUGGAGUGGGAGACAACAGUUGGAAACGACUGCUAAUACCGCAUAAGCCCACGAUCCGGCAUCGGAUUGAGGGAAAAGGAUUUAUUCGCUUCAGGAUGGACUCGCGUCCAAUUAGCUAGUUGGUGAGGUAACGGCCCACCAAGGCGACGAUUGGUAGCCGGACUGAGAGGUUGAACGGCCACAUUGGGACUGAGACACGGCCCAGACUCCUACGGGAAGCAGCAGUGGGGGAUAUUGCACAAUGGGGGAAACCCUGAUGCAGCGACGCCGCGUGGAGGAAGAAGGUUUUCGGAUUGUAAACUCCUGUCGUUAGGGACGAUAAUGACGGUACCUAACAAGAAAGCACCGGCUAACUACGUG